This 253-nucleotide ribosomal RNA is filed under the name uncultured bacterium. RNAcentral describes it as "partial 16S ribosomal RNA". It matches the Rfam family "Bacterial small subunit ribosomal RNA", at positions 524 to 776 of the family's 1533-position model. The record is from RNAcentral.
GACGGGGGAUGCAAGCGUUAUCCGGAAUCACUGGGCGUAAAGCGUCUGUAGGUGGUGAUGCAAGUCACUGGUGCAAAACUCUGGCUCAACCGGAGGAAAGCCAGUGAAACUGCAUGACUAGAGUGUGGGAGAGGUAGAAGGAAUUCCCUGAGUAGCGGUGAAAUGCGUAGAUACAGGGAAGAACACCGGAGGCGAAAGCGUUCUACUGGAACACAACUGACACUGAGAGAGGAAAGCUAAGGGAGGGAAUGGG